RNAcentral lists this ribosomal RNA (1387 nucleotides) under Staphylococcus aureus. RNAcentral's name for it is "partial 23S ribosomal RNA". It matches the Rfam family "Bacterial large subunit ribosomal RNA", at positions 84 to 1471 of the family's 2925-position model. Lineage: Bacteria; Bacillati; Bacillota; Bacilli; Caryophanales; Staphylococcaceae. The record is from RNAcentral.
AGCUGUAAGUAAGCUUUGAUCCAGAGAUUUCCGAAUGGGGAAACCCAGCAUGAGUUAUGUCAUGUUAUCGAUAUGUGAAUACAUAGCAUAUCAGAAGGCACACCCGGAGAACUGAAACAUCUUAGUACCCGGAGGAAGAGAAAGAAAAUUCGAUUCCCUUAGUAGCGGCGAGCGAAACGGGAAGAGCCCAAACCAACAAGCUUGCUUGUUGGGGUUGUAGGACACUCUAUACGGAGUUACAAAGGACGACAUUAGACGAAUCAUCUGGAAAGAUGAAUCAAAGAAGGUAAUAAUCCUGUAGUCGAAAAUGUUGUCUCUCUUGAGUGGAUCCUGAGUACGACGGAGCACGUGAAAUUCCGUCGGAAUCUGGGAGGACCAUCUCCUAAGGCUAAAUACUCUCUAGUGACCGAUAGUGAACCAGUACCGUGAGGGAAAGGUGAAAAGCACCCCGGAAGGGGAGUGAAAUAGAACCUGAAACCGUGUGCUUACAAGUAGUCAGAGCCCGUUAAUGGGUGAUGGCGUGCCUUUUGUAGAAUGAACCGGCGAGUUACGAUUUGAUGCAAGGUUAAGCAGUAAAUGUGGAGCCGUAGCGAAAGCGAGUCUGAAUAGGGCGUUUAGUAUUUGGUCGUAGACCCGAAACCAGGUGAUCUACCCUUGGUCAGGUUGAAGUUCAGGUAACACUGAAUGGAGGACCGAACCGACUUACGUUGAAAAGUGAGCGGAUGAACUGAGGGUAGCGGAGAAAUUCCAAUCGAACCUGGAGAUAGCUGGUUCUCUCCGAAAUAGCUUUAGGGCUAGCCUCAAGUGAUGAUUAUUGGAGGUAGAGCACUGUUUGGACGAGGGGCCCCUCUCGGGUUACCGAAUUCAGACAAACUCCGAAUGCCAAUUAAUUUAACUUGGGAGUCAGAACAUGGGUGAUAAGGUCCGUGUUCGAAAGGGAAACAGCCCAGACCACCAGCUAAGGUCCCAAAAUAUAUGUUAAGUGGAAAAGGAUGUGGCGUUGCCCAGACAACUAGGAUGUUGGCUUAGAAGCAGCCAUCAUUUAAAGAGUGCGUAAUAGCUCACUAGUCGAGUGACACUGCGCCGAAAAUGUACCGGGGCUAAACAUAUUACCGAAGCUGUGGAUUGUCCUUUGGACAAUGGUAGGAGAGCGUUCUAAGGGCGUUGAAGCAUGAUCGUAAGGACAUGUGGAGCGCUUAGAAGUGAGAAUGCCGGUGUGAGUAGCGAAAGACGGGUGAGAAUCCCGUCCACCGAUUGACUAAGGUUUCCAGAGGAAGGCUCGUCCGCUCUGGGUUAGUCGGGUCCUAAGCUGAGGCCGACAGGCGUAGGCGAUGGAUAACAGGUUGAUAUUCCUGUACCACCUAUAAUCGUUUUAAUCGAUGGGGGG